AUUGAACGCUGGCGGCAGGCCUAACACAUGCAAGUCGAGCGGAUGAAGGGAGCUUGCUCCUGGAUUCAGCGGCGGACGGGUGAGUAAUGCCUAGGAAUCUGCCUGGUAGUGGGGGAUAACGUCCGGAAACGGGCGCUAAUACCGCAUACGUCCUGAGGGAGAAAGUGGGGGAUCUUCGGACCUCACGCUAUCAGAUGAGCCUAGGUCGGAUUAGCUAGUUGGUGGGGUAAAGGCCUACCAAGGCGACGAUCCGUAACUGGUCUGAGAGGAUGAUCAGUCACACUGGAACUGAGACACGGUCCAGACUCCUACGGGAGGCAGCAGUGGGGAAUAUUGGACAAUGGGCGAAAGCCUGAGCCAGCCAUGCCGCGUGUGUGAAGAAGGUCUUCGGAUUGUAAAGCACUUUAAGUGGGGAGGAAGGGCAGUAAGUUAAUACCUUGCUGUUUUGACGUUACCAACAGAAUAAGCACCGGCUAACUUCGUG
Molecule: ribosomal RNA, 484 nt
Filed under: uncultured bacterium
Lineage: Bacteria
Description: partial 16S ribosomal RNA
Rfam family: Bacterial small subunit ribosomal RNA
Source: RNAcentral